RNAcentral lists this ribosomal RNA (253 nucleotides) under uncultured bacterium. RNAcentral describes it as "partial 16S ribosomal RNA". It matches the Rfam family "Bacterial small subunit ribosomal RNA", at positions 524 to 776 of the family's 1533-position model. The record is from RNAcentral.
UACGUAGGGUGCAAGCGUUGUCCGGAUUUAUUGGGUUUAAAGGGUGCGUAGGUGGAUUUUUAAGUCAGUGGUGAAAUCUUCCCGCUCAACGGGAAAAUAGCCAUUGAUACUGGGGAUCUUGAGAGAAGUGGAGGCUGGUGGAAUGGAUGGUGUAGCGGUGAAAUGCAUAGAUAUCAUCCAGAACGUCAAUUGCGAAGGCAGCUGGCUGUACUUUUUCUGACACUGAGGCACGAAAGCGUGGGGAUCAAACAGG